Molecule: long non-coding RNA, 984 nt
Organism: Hyaena hyaena (striped hyena)
Lineage: Eukaryota; Metazoa; Chordata; Mammalia; Carnivora; Hyaenidae
Exons: 2
Source: RefSeq, a predicted model, not a curated record
ACUGUCAGCGACGUCGGAACUAUCUUGGUGGUCGCUAAAGUCGUAGCUGUAGUCGUGUUCGGGUCCGGGGAGGGGCUCUGAGCCGCGGUUACCACCAGGACGCAGCUGGGCUGUUCCAGUUCCUGCAGUAGACUAAGCGCUCCGACCCUGGCUUGAAUGGAACAACCUACAUGAGGUGGCGCUCGGCGUCCACCCGAGCGACCAGCGAGGCUGUAAAUCCGUGAUCCCACGUGACUUUCUGGGCCUCGAUUCCGUGACCUGUGUCCCCCGGGCGUUGGUUUCCGUUGGGUGCACUUAGGAACGGGACGUGAAUUAAGUUUGCGGUGUGUUCCCUCAUUCCGAGGGUGCUUCAACAGAACUUUAGUGGGACCCGCGCUUCUUUCCUUUGAAAAUUGGUUUUUCUGAAAGUAACCCCGUGUUGGGAUCCCCCAGGGAAAUGAAGAAACCACGUGGUUGAGUUUCUGCUCUGCCGCCCACCUAGGGUGAGCGGCUAAAACACCGAAAGCAGCCUCCUGCCUUCGAGCCAGAGCCGAGCACCGUCUACCUCUUUCACACUUGCCCAACCUGCCUUUUACGAAUUUUUUUUAUUCCGGCCUUUGGUUGCGGAAGCCAGUCAACGCCACCACUACACAGAGAGUCAAAGACAAGCUGGGUUAGAAAUGCAUCUGGUCCAUUCCCACCCCACUUUACAGGUGAGGAAACUGAGACUCAGAAAAAGUGACUUGACUGGAACAUGGUGCUUGACAACAGGGCUGAAUUUCGAAAUGCCUGUUAACAGUCUGUCACUGCUCAGGCUUUUAGAAGGGUGAGCGCCAUCUGAUGCCCAGUCUCACAAAAUACUCACAAUUGCAGCUAUGCUUAUAUUGAAUAGUAAAAAAAUUGGGCUAUAAAAGGUAUUUUUAAUGCAAUCUGCUUUCAGUUAUUUGCGUUUAUCGUGCAAGUUUCAUUAUGCACAUUUACUCUAAUAAAAUAACACGAACAUUA